UACGAAGGGGGCAAGCGUUGUUCGGAUUUACUGGGCGUAAAGCGUACGUAGGCGGAUGAUUAAGUCAGGGGUGAAAUCCCGAGGCUCAACCUCGGAACUGCCUUUGAUACUGGUCAUCUUGAGUCCGGGAGAGGUGAGUGGAACUGCGAGUGUAGAGGUGAAAUUCGUAGAUAUUCGCAAGAACACCAGUGGCGAAGGCGGCUCACUGGCCCGGUACUGACGCUGAGGUGCGAAAGCGUGGGGAGCAAACAGG
This 253-nucleotide ribosomal RNA is filed under the name uncultured bacterium. Its description in RNAcentral is "partial 16S ribosomal RNA". It matches the Rfam family "Bacterial small subunit ribosomal RNA", at positions 524 to 776 of the family's 1533-position model. The record is from RNAcentral.